This 252-nucleotide ribosomal RNA is filed under the name uncultured bacterium. Its description in RNAcentral is "partial small subunit ribosomal RNA". It matches the Rfam family "Bacterial small subunit ribosomal RNA", at positions 26 to 285 of the family's 1533-position model. The record is from RNAcentral.
AGGACGAACGCUGGCGGCGUGCCUAACACAUGCAAGUCGAACGGGGGUAGCAAUACCCCAGUGGCGAACGGGUGCGUAACACGUGAAGAACUUGUCCAUCGGCGGGGGAUAGCCGGCCCAACGGCCGGGUAAUACCGCGUACGCCGUCUGAAGCGCAUGCUUCGGCCGGGAAAGCAGCAAUGCACCGAUGGAGAGCUUCGCGGCCUAUCAGCUAGUUGGCGGGGUAACGGCCUACCAAGGCGACGACGGGUA